CUGCGACUCCGCACUUUCGCACCCCUCGCUUGUCCUAAUCUAUAAAACCAUCAGGUGCGGCAUUUACUACUCACGAUUCACAAUCUCCCAAAGGCGGGAAAUCACGACGUCGUUUGCGUAAUUCGUGAGGCGGACCCCUCAUGCCAGCGUUCUGACUUUGAGUUUCCUUAACUGCCCCCGGGCGUGUUCGCCACCUCGUACACCAAAUUAAGCUUCGUUGCGCUUCUUGGAAUGGUCCAGAACUGUAGGAGACUGUUGGGAUCUCUAUCCCGAAGGGGAAGCCCCCGUCUCACUGUCCACCACGUACCAACAGCAGUCGAGCACAGCACUCUACAACCCAAUUCAGGGCGUUGCUCGCGUUGGGAACUAGAAUCAACGGUCGUAAGUCAACCCGUGAGAUUCCACUGACGGCCACUGUUUGGCCUCCUUCCACCCCUACUGCAGUUUAGUAGUACGGGGAAUACUGGACCCGAUGUGUGCACGAUGUUACCCGUCUUGUUUCCCGUCGCUUCGGCGCUCCGAUUCGGUUAGGGUGUUUAGACAAGAGUCAAGCCUAGCGUCAGACGUUGAGCUGACGCACUUCGACCUUAGCGAUCAUUAGCGCCUAGUCGUACGGCGCCACUUAUGCAAGGGCCCGGAACAUGUGUGGCGGGCAGUGUGGUGCUCUCAAACAUUGUGGGCUUCAGCCACUCCAUUGG
RNAcentral lists this ribosomal RNA (698 nucleotides) under Bacillus licheniformis. Its description in RNAcentral is "partial 16S ribosomal RNA". The record is from RNAcentral. Lineage: Bacteria; Bacillati; Bacillota; Bacilli; Caryophanales; Bacillaceae.